UUACGACCAUAUCACUUUGAAGCACCUGUUCCCAUACGAACACCGAAGUUAAGCAACGUCGAACCUGGUCAGUACCUAGAUGUAUGACAACUUGGGAAUAUCAAAUGCUGUAA
RNAcentral lists this ribosomal RNA (113 nucleotides) under Acanthosepion pharaonis. Lineage: Eukaryota; Metazoa; Mollusca; Cephalopoda; Sepiida; Sepiidae. The record is from RNAcentral.